UGCUGGUAACUCUACACAAAGCACAGUUCCGGCUCCAACUCCAGCAGCUGAUACUCCAGGCCAGGUUUCAGCAGCAGCUGAGCUCCGUCCUCAGCACUGGCAGCUUCCGUGUAGGCAGCUUGUUUCCCUGGAUUGGAUUGAGUUUGCAAACUUGUCCCCCUCCCUGCAGGGUGUGUGUGUAUGAAAACAGCAUGUCCCCCUUCGAGAUGGAGGCAGAGGGGAACAGCGCGUCCCCCUCAUGGUGGGGAGGUGGGCAAGGUGAAAAGGAAGCAGACCCCAGCUGCCUUGGGCUGGCAGCCCCAGCAGCUUCACCACCUAGCUACAGACCGCCCUGGUGGCCUAGUCAUUCAGUACUACAUAACACAGAAUACCAAUAGAUAAAGUGGACAUCAGUUGAAGUUGUUUGUGAAAAUUGAACGUCAUAUUAGCUUACAAAUUUAGUCCUUUUAAAAAUUCGGUUGUUAUAAUUUUAGUGUUUUAUUUCUUUAAUGGAUUAAACAUAAUAAUAAUUCUUAUCUACUGUAUGUUAUAAACACCAUGUUAGAUCAUUAAAAGGUCAUUUUUAAGCACA
Long non-coding RNA from Gopherus flavomarginatus (Mexican gopher tortoise), 571 nucleotides. RefSeq lists it as uncharacterized. Lineage: Eukaryota; Metazoa; Chordata; Testudines; Testudinidae. The record is from RefSeq and is a predicted model, not a curated record. The transcript is spliced from 2 exons.